CUCAGAAAACCUUAAUAGCGUAGAAUUUCCAAUACAGAUCGUCCAUGAACAUUUUCCCAAUGAAGGGUGGGUUACUUGAUUAGCCAUUUGUGAUUGGUUAACCUGUUCGUUUCACCUUUGAUGUAACAUUGCUAAAUAAACACCGUUGAAUCUUUACAGGAAUGGCGAAACGAGCUGCUUUAAGCAUUUGCUUUUAUUCAGAGUUUGACCAAUUAGCUAUCAACUGCAGACUUUUUGCUCAUUAUAUCCUCAUUGUCUGUUACGCUUAUUGAACAAACUUAAAAGCACGUUUCUGUGCAACCAAUGAUUGUUAAGACUUUUAAGAGGAUUGCUACCCUGAAAUCAACAUGAUAAAAAAACGAUAUCUCAAUUCGGAUGGAAAUUAGACUACCCUGCUUACACGUCAAUUAAUACGCCCCAUCAAUUAAUACGCCGGUUGUUCGAGAGCCAGUACGUUUAACCCCACAACAGGUUAACCCAAAAUUCAAAGCAAACUUCCCAACAGCUCGCUUACAAACUUGGAAAUAUUUCUUCAGUAAUCUUGCGUGGAUCAACAGUUUUCUUCUCUGAUGUUUUGUAAUAAACAAACACGUAGAGAAACACGAACAAAACGGCGAGUUAAAGUUUAAUCUAUAGGGUUAGUUCUAAUCCAGCUUUGAACAACAGGCCCAAAUAUUAAAUAUCAAUACAGUAUAUACUCACUGGCAAAAAAAACUAGAGAUCCAAGGAUAGUGUAAAGUUUCAAAUUGAAUACGAUCGGGAAGAACUGCCAGGCCUUAAAAUAUCGGUCGGUCACGGACAUUGUCCGACCCAUUCGUGAAAUUGUCCGACGUAUAGAGGAAACCACCGGACAUUCUGUCCGAUCAAAGUGAAACUGAGGUUUAUUGUUUGUCCGACCUGAGUGUAUUGGUGUCAGACCGAACUGUAGCUUUGUCCGACGUAAAUCAAAAUGUACCCUAGCCCAGGGCUAGAAGCUUGUAUGUUAAAUGGAAAAUCAGAGUUCUGUUGUAUAAAAGGUGAACUGGAAAUGUUGUUUUAACGUAGUCGAGCGCGGGGCGGCGAGCGAAAUGGUGAAGUGGAAAAUUAACGCGCUUAAGUUGUCGAAGUCUUUUUAAUACUGCUUUUCUGGAAAGCACUUUAAUUUUGGCUUGGAAAUAUAAGAAUGAAAGAAACAAAUUAUUUAAUAUUUUGACAAUAUUUACCGUUUAGAAUUAAUACAUUGUGCUGAUAUUCAUUUGUGUCAUUCAGACUUAUUUACGAGUCAAAACUGAACUGAAGGUCAUCGGACAUAUGUCCGACCCAAACUCAACGUCAUCGGACAUUUUGUCAGACGGCCCUGUAAAAGAUAUUUUAAGGCCUGACUGCGUAGGGUCUAGCGGGUUAAUAGGUUUGCUCAACAAUUAGGCCAAACAACGUUACAUUAGGCCUUUGUUUUUUUUUGUCUUAGCGUGUUUUGUUUUUUUUUGUUUUAUUUGUUUUCAAUAACGGCACUAAUACGAUUUGGCCUAAUUCUUCAUCUAACAUACCAACACUGCACGUUACUCAAAAAUGUGGAUUAGAACAAGGUUUUUACGAGAGAAACAAUUCAUUGUCACUUCCUUCGCCGUGCCUCGUGGAACUGGUACAAUUUAUUUAUUUAUUGUGAUGCUACACGAAACAACUCGAAAUUUAAAUUCUUUCACCAGCAACCACAUUUUGUAUAUUCUAAAACUACAAUUGCAUUGGGAGCUGUCGCUGAAAGUAUCCCCAUGAGGCUACUGAUAUACUAAACUUAUUUAAAACUAUCAGCGCCCAUAUUGCACAUUUAACUAUUGUCUCAGUGACACAAUUGAAAUAGCUGUAUAACUACAGUGUGUCCCAAAAAAGUACCCUCUAUAGAAAGUAUCUAUCCUAUUGUUAUAAGGGUACUUUUUUGGGGACACACUGUAGUUAAUAUGACGUUGCAUCCCAUUACAAAAAACAUAAAUCCAAAACACAGACACAUAAAAAUGAGGCGAAAAAAUUCAUUUAAAUGACGCAUUUUAUCCCCAUAUCCGUUCCGCAACCGCUCCAUGGAUCCGCUAGGUUCCGCAUCCGCUUCCGCAUUUUAACUUAAUUGUGACAUGUUUCUCAAUAACAAGUCUCAAUGACCUUUGACUUUAUAUUCCCAAGGCCAAGAUCAGGUUGUUUUUUUUUUAUAUGAGUCAUUUUCAGCUUUUCGCAAGUAUUCAAUAAUGUCUCUUUAGAUGUCAAUAAUUUCACAGUUACAGCAGAGUUUAUAGCAGUUUUGAUAAAGCUUUGAUACAGAUAGAUUCUCGUAAGAUCUGGUGAUGUUCUCGUUGCAUUUGAAUAUUGCAUCGUGCCAUUGAACACCAGUUUGCACCGUUGUGCCAGACAUGUGAACAAGGCCCGUGACUGUACACGUUGGAUAGCAAACGCCAUACAAUGAUAUACAAACACUAGUACACUACUUCUGUUUGAUAGUUAUUUAUGCUCUACUGAUCUGAUGCAAUGUUUUGCUCUUCGUACUGAGUGACCUAUUCUGUGGUGUAGCAGUGUUACACCUUUACUUCGAUGUAUAAUGAAUAUACGACUAAAUAAUAUCGGCACUUAAUUGAAUGCCGGCCGGUAUAAAUGCACAACAUCAAUUUAUAUAUUACGUAGCAUCUCAAAGAUUUUAUCAAUAUUCAUCGGUCUGAAAUGUUUAUGUACUUGAAAACAACGCUGUCUCGCUCCUUCCUAGCUCUGUAUAAUGAAUAUACCGUCAAAAUAAUAUCGGCACUUCGAAGAUUUUCUCAAUAUUUAUAAUUAGGUCUGAAAUGUUUUAUAUACAUUUGGAAAAAAGCACUAUCUAGCUCCUUAGUUCUUAGCUCUGUAUAAUGAAUAUACCGUCUAAGUAAUAUCGGUACUUGACUGAAUGCCCGUAAUGAAUAACAUCAAUUUAUAUAUUGCGUAGACUCUCAAAGAUUUACUCAAUAUUCACAUCUGAAAUGUGUAUACAUUUGAAAACAACACUGUGUCGCUCCUUCCUAGCAUCGUCACGUCAUCGUAGGUCAUCUACGGUUUGAUAGCGCAUGCGCAUUUGCGCUGCUAAAGAAAAAAUCGAGUGUUCCGG
RNAcentral lists this long non-coding RNA (3094 nucleotides) under Paramuricea clavata. The record is from RNAcentral. Lineage: Eukaryota; Metazoa; Cnidaria; Anthozoa; Malacalcyonacea; Plexauridae.